This 506-nucleotide ribosomal RNA is filed under the name uncultured bacterium. RNAcentral describes it as "partial 16S ribosomal RNA". It matches the Rfam family "Bacterial small subunit ribosomal RNA", at positions 30 to 523 of the family's 1533-position model. The record is from RNAcentral.
AUUGAACGCCGGCGGCAGGCUUAACACAUGCAAGUCGAGCGGUAACAGAGAGAAGCUUGCUUCUCUGCUGACGAGCGGCGGACGGGUGAGUAAUGCCUAGGAAUCUGCCUAGUAGUGGGGGAUAACUAGCCGAAAGGUAAGCUAAUACCGCGUACGUCCUACGGGAGAAAGGAGGGGACCUUCGGGCCUUUCGCUAUUAGAUGAGCCUAGGUCGGAUUAGUUAGUUGGUGAGGUAAUGGCUCACCAAGACCGCGAUCCGUAACUGGUCUGAGAGGAUGAUCAGUCACACUGGAACUGAGACAUGGUCCAGACUCCUACGGGAGGCAGCAGUGGGGAAUAUUGGACAAUGGGGGGAACCCUGAUCCAGCCAUGCCGCGUGUGUGAAGAAGGUCUUAGGAUUGUAAAGCACUUUAAGUUGGGAGGAAGAGCAGUUAACUAAUAUUUGACUGUUUUGACGUUACCGACAGAAUAAGCACCGGCUAACUUCGUGCCAGCCGCCGCCGUAA